RNAcentral lists this ribosomal RNA (253 nucleotides) under uncultured bacterium. Its description in RNAcentral is "partial 16S ribosomal RNA". It matches the Rfam family "Bacterial small subunit ribosomal RNA", at positions 524 to 776 of the family's 1533-position model. The record is from RNAcentral.
UACGGAGGGUGCAAGCGUUAUCCGGAUUCACUGGGUUUAAAGGGUGCGUAGGCGGGCAGGUAAGUCCGUGGUGAAAUCUCUGAGCUUAACUCGGAAACUGCCAUGGAUACUAUUUGUCUUGAAUGUUGUGGAGGUAAGCGGAAUAUGUCAUGUAGCGGUGAAAUGCUUAGAUAUGACAUAGAACACCAAUUGCGAAGGCAGCUUACUACACAAAUAUUGACGCUGAGGCACGAAAGCGUGGGGAUCAAACAGG